GUGCACAAGGCGCGUUCGAGCAGCGGCGACCGAGGCGGCGAAGGAGCGCGCCAUGGAGCAUGUGACAGAGGGCUCCUGGGAAUCGCUGCCUGUGCCGCUGCACCCGCAGGUGCUGGGCGCGCUGCGGGAGCUGGGCUUCCCGUACAUGACGCCGGUGCAGUCCGCAACCAUCCCUCUGUUCAUGCGAAACAAAGAUGUCGCUGCAGAAGCGGUGAGUGCCUCGGGUAUGUGCAGCCUGUCCUCGUGUUCUCCCUCAGAUGAACUCUGAGGAAGAAAGGGAAACCAAAACUCUCUGUUUGCAGGUCACAGGUAGUGGCAAAACACUCGCUUUUGUCAUCCCCAUCCUGGAAAUUCUUCUGAGAAGAGAAGAGAAGUUAAAAAAGAGUCAGGUUGGAGCCAUAAUCAUCACCCCCACUCGAGAGCUGGCCAUUCAAAUAGACGAGGUCCUGUCGCAUUUCACGAAGCACUUCCCCGAGUUCAGGUGAAUUGGAUGCAGUGUCCCUGUUAGCCAUGGGCUGUUUUGUCGAACUUAAUCAAAGGCUGUUUUCUUGUUGUAGCCAGAUUCUUUGGAUCGGAGGCAGGAAUCCUGGAGAAGAUGUUGAGAAGUUUAAGCAACAAGGGUGAGUUUGCUCGUGUCUGCUUGUUUCUUUGCUUGCUUUUGGCAUUGAACCUAAGAAUCGAUGUGUGAUCUCAGCCUAACUGUGGGUCCCCCUUUCAGCAGCCUCCUC
Molecule: small RNA, 728 nt
Filed under: Pan troglodytes (chimpanzee)
Lineage: Eukaryota; Metazoa; Chordata; Mammalia; Primates; Hominidae
Description: retained intron
Source: RNAcentral